This 255-nucleotide ribosomal RNA is filed under the name uncultured bacterium. Its description in RNAcentral is "partial 16S ribosomal RNA". It matches the Rfam family "Bacterial small subunit ribosomal RNA", at positions 524 to 777 of the family's 1533-position model. The record is from RNAcentral.
UACGGAGGGUGCAAGCGUUAAUCGGAAUUACUGGGCGUAAAGUGUGCGCAGGCGGUUUUGUUAAGUCUGUUGUGAAAUCCCCGAGCUCAACUUGGGAAUUGCAAUGGAUACUGGCAGGCUGGAGUAUGGUAGAGGAAGGUGGAAUUCCCGGUGUAGCAGUGAAAUGCGUAGAGAUCUGGAGGAACACCGGUGGCGAAGGCGACAUCCUGGACCGGUAUUGACGCUGAGGCGCGAAAGCCAGGGGAGCAAAGCGGG